This 203-nucleotide ribosomal RNA is filed under the name uncultured Trichocomaceae. Its description in RNAcentral is "5.8S ribosomal RNA". The record is from RNAcentral. Lineage: Eukaryota; Fungi; Ascomycota; Eurotiomycetes; Eurotiales; Trichocomaceae.
UCCAGAAUCGGAGGACGAGACCCAACACACAAGCCGGGCUUGAGGGCAGCAAUGACGCUCGGACAGGCAUGCCCCCCGGAAUACCAGGGGGCGCAAUGUGCGUUCAAAGACUCGAUGAUUCACUGAAUUUGCAAUUCACAUUACGUAUCGCAUUUCGCUGCGUUCUUCAUCGAUGCCGGAACCAAGAGAUCCGUUGUUGAAAG